This 70-nucleotide transfer RNA is filed under the name Capra hircus (goat). It matches the Rfam family "tRNA". Rfam says of the family: Transfer RNA (tRNA) molecules are approximately 80 nucleotides in length. Their secondary structure includes four short double-helical elements and three loops (D, anti-codon, and T loops). Lineage: Eukaryota; Metazoa; Chordata; Mammalia; Artiodactyla; Bovidae. RNAcentral also lists the same sequence under 1 other name. The record is from Rfam by way of RNAcentral.
CCCUAGCAGUCCAGUGGUGAGGACUCUGCAGUCUCACUGCUGUGGCCAGGGUUCAAUCCCUGGUCAGGGA